GAUGAACGCUGGCGGCGUGCUUAACACAUGCAAGUCGAACGGGAUCCAUCAAGCUUGCUUGGUGGUGAGAGUGGCGAACGGGUGAGUAAUGCGUGACCGACCUGCCCCAUACACCGGAAUAGCUCCUGGAAACGGGUGGUAAUGCCGGAUGCUCCAGUUGAUCGCAUGGUCUUCUGGGAAAGCUUUCGCGGUAUGGGAUGGGGUCGCGUCCUAUCAGCUUGACGGCGGGGUAACGGCCCACCGUGGCUUCGACGGGUAGCCGGCCUGAGAGGGCGACCGGCCACAUUGGGACUGAGAUACGGCCCAGACUCCUACGGGAGGCAGCAGUGGGGAAUAUUGCACAAUGGGCGCAAGCCUGAUGCAGCGACGCCGCGUGAGGGAUGGAGGCCUUCGGGUUGUAAACCUCUUUUAUCGGGGAGCAAGCGAGAGUGAGUUUACCCGUUGAAUAAGCA
RNAcentral lists this ribosomal RNA (452 nucleotides) under uncultured bacterium. RNAcentral describes it as "bacterial SSU rRNA". It matches the Rfam family "Bacterial small subunit ribosomal RNA", at positions 28 to 492 of the family's 1533-position model. The record is from RNAcentral.